CCUACGGGAGGCUGCAGUAGGGAAUCUUCGGCAAUGGACGAAAGUCUGACCGAGCAACGCCGCGUGAGUGAAGAAGGUUUUCGGAUCGUAAAACUCUGUUGUUAGAGAAGAACAAGGACGUUAGUAACUGAACGUCCCCUGACGGUAUCUAACCAGAAAGCCACGGCUAACUACGUGCCAGCAGCCGCGGUAAUACGUAGGUGGCAAGCGUUGUCCGGAUUUAUUGGGCGUAAAGCGAGCGCAGGCGGUUUCUUAAGUCUGAUGUGAAAGCCCCCGGCUCAACCGGGGAGGGUCAUUGGAAACUGGGAGACUUGAGUGCAGAAGAGGAGAGUGGAAUUCCAUGUGUAGCGGUGAAAUGCGUAGAUAUAUGGAGGAACACCAGUGGCGAAGGCGGCUCUCUGGUCUGUAACUGACGCUGAGGCUCGAAAGCGUGGGGAGCAAACAGGAUUAGAUACCCCUGUAGUC
Molecule: ribosomal RNA, 465 nt
Filed under: uncultured Enterococcus sp.
Lineage: Bacteria; Bacillati; Bacillota; Bacilli; Lactobacillales; Enterococcaceae
Description: bacterial SSU rRNA
Rfam family: Bacterial small subunit ribosomal RNA
Source: RNAcentral